GAUAGAGAGUAAACCCUUGUGUGUGGCAACGGUCUCGGAGAAUCCGUAGAUACUAUGAGCGUCAUACUCUCUUACACCGUUGUAAUGUAAAGCACUUGUUGCAAUCGUCUUGAAACCGAUGGGAGCUUGAACUCCAGUAGCGUUGAUCUUGUAAGGAGGUUCAUCCCAUCUCGUCUUGGUUAUAUUCUUGCAGUCCAAGCAACAGAUCCAACCAGGCCCUUCCCCAGUUGGACACUUCUUCCCUUUAGGGAUUGUGCACAAUCCAGAGCAAAAGUUCGAAACCUCGUUCAUGUCGAUCCAUAGACCAUCUAUAGGGACUAGUUCAUGGAAGCGGCGGAUUUCUUCACCCCACCAAGCAACAGUCUUGGGGUUGAGGAAAUCAGGAAAGUGGACCGCGCCGGGCCAUACUUGGGCCAAGAAAGGCUUUCCUUCAUACUUGAUGAACACGUCAUUCGCCAUACCUCGUUGGUACACACCGUAGCUAGAGUUGACACCAAUACCGGGGUCGUUGAUGACGACAUACUUCAUGCCCAUCUUGUGGAUUUUGUCUAAGAAGUUCAGUAGCUUGGCACGAGGGUAGCUAAUGGGACUCAACGUAAAGUCUUUUUUGGCAUUCAUGUGGUCAUCAUCGUUCCAAAUCACAUCAAGAGGGAUCUUAGCCUUUUGGUAACUGUCGACCACGUCUUCGAUAACUGAUAAGUUACGGUAUCCCCAUCUACAUUGGUGAAAUCCUACAACGUUCAUUCAAACAAAGAUUAGUAUACGCAACUACCCAUUAAUCAAAAAGUAUGGUUUAUGAAUCUGUCACAUGGCCAAAACAAAGAUUUGAUUCUCUUUUUUUUGUCAAGUCAAUAGUAGAACCGUGGACCAGUAUCAAGAUCGUACAGGGACCACGAGUCACCCUAAGGGAAGAAAAAAAAUCAACAAAAGAGGAAAGCAAUGAAACACGUCUUCACGUUCUUUUUAAAUUGGAAACCAUAAUUAGAAAGCGACCUUCACCUAUACACCCACAUGUUGGUCAACUUUCUACAAGUUGUGUCGGAGAAAGAACAGAUCCUCUUUACGAUGAAUUUCAUUACAACAUGUGUUACUUACAAAACACAUAGUUUAGUUUAAAAGCCAGAUCUUCUUUUAAUACAGAACAUUAAUCUAAUAGUUUCUCAGUAGCAAAUGAUACGCAAAUCUACUUUCGCGUGACCAUUCUUUUGACUAAAUAGUCAAACCUUAGAAAAAACCUUCAAAUGUCUCCUACUAAUUACUCGUCAUUAAGCAUGGCCACAAACAUAAUUAUUAAUAACUACCCUAUAGAGCAAAAUCGUCUUCUAAUUUUAUUUAAUUACCACAAAGAUACUCUACAGUUUUCUAAAGAUAAAUGUUUUAAAAAAAACUAAGGAUAUGACGUUUUAUAUAGAUUUUUACUAAUUAAUAAUGAUAAAUUGCAUUUUUAAAAAUAAUUAUGUUUAUUAAAUUGUUACUAAUUAAGAGCGGUCUAGCGAUUGGCGCACCCGUCAUGUGAGCUUCGUAGUUAAGCGUGUAGAGGUAAGGGAGGAUCUUGUAUCUCAUACCAAGAGCGUUACGAGCUGACUCAGCAACCGUGGCCCAUUGGUAAAGCUCUUGUCUUGGAGAGUAGUAGUUAGCGUGAUCUCUCGAAAACGGGUAGAACGCUCCCACUUCGAUCCAACGGUUACAGAGCUCCUCCGUUGGUUGAGGGUAGAAUCCACAAAUGUCUGCACCAACCAUAGGAACACCGAAGAUUCCGAAGUUCAACAUCGUUGAGAUAGACACUUGCAAGCUCUGCCACGUUCCUUGGUUAUCUCCGGUCCAGUGAGCAGCGUAUUUACCCGAACCAACAAAAGUAGACCGGGACAAAAUGAAAGGACGUUUCCCUUCGAUAGAGAGUAAACCCUUGUGUGUGGCAACGGUCUCGGAGAAUCCGUAGAUACUAUGAGCGUCAUACUCUCUUACACCGUUGUAAUGUAAAGCACUUGUUGCAAUCGUCUUGAAACCGAUGGGAGCUUGAACUCCAGUAGCGUUGAUCUUGUAAGGAGGUUCAUCCCAUCUCGUCUUGGUUAUAUUCUUGCAGUCCAAGCAACAGAUCCAACCAGGCCCUUCCCCAGUUGGACACUUCUUCCCUUUAGGGAUUGUGCACAAUCCAGAGCAAAAGUUCGAAACCUCGUUCAUGUCGAUCCAUAGACCAUCUAUAGGGACUAGUUCAUGGAAGCGGCGGAUUUCUUCACCCCAC
This 2242-nucleotide long non-coding RNA is filed under the name Brassica napus (rape). RNAcentral's name for it is "long non-coding RNA (BNAP_LNC011043)". The record is from RNAcentral. Lineage: Eukaryota; Viridiplantae; Streptophyta; Magnoliopsida; Brassicales; Brassicaceae.